GUCAUACUUGGUGUGAAUUUCUAGAAUACCCGUGAACCAUCGAGUCUUUGAACGCAAGUUGCGCCCCAAGCCUUCUGGCCAAGGGCAUGUCUGCCUGGGUGUCA
This 104-nucleotide ribosomal RNA is filed under the name Brassica napus (rape). RNAcentral describes it as "5.8S ribosomal RNA". It matches the Rfam family "5.8S ribosomal RNA", at positions 55 to 154 of the family's 154-position model. From Rfam's summary of the family: 5.8S ribosomal RNA (5.8S rRNA) is a component of the large subunit of the eukaryotic ribosome. Lineage: Eukaryota; Viridiplantae; Streptophyta; Magnoliopsida; Brassicales; Brassicaceae. The record is from Rfam by way of RNAcentral.